CGAACGCUGGCGGCGUGCUUAACACAUGCAAGUCACGGGGGCCCGCAAGGGUAACCGGCGAACGGGUGCGUAACACGUGAGCAACCUGCCAUGCACUGGGGGAUAGCCGGCCCAACGGCCGGGUAAUACCGCAUACGCUCUGUUGCCGGCAUCGGUGGCAGAGGAAACCUCCGGGGGUGCAUGAGGGGCUCGCGGCCUAUCAGCUAGUUGGUGGGGUCACGGCCUACCAAGGCGAUGACGGGUAGCUGGUCUGAGAGGAUGGCCAGCCACAUUGGGACUGAGAUACGGCCCAGACUCCUACGGGAGGCAGCAGUGGGGAAUAUUGCGCAAUGGCCGCAAGGCUGACGCAGCGACGCCGCGUGGGGGAUGACGCAUUUCGGUGUGUAAACCCCUGUUGCUCGGGACGAACAGCUCUUUUCGAGGAGCCUGACGGUACCGGGUGAGGAAGCACCGGCUAACUCCGUGCCAGCAG
RNAcentral lists this ribosomal RNA (472 nucleotides) under uncultured bacterium. RNAcentral describes it as "bacterial SSU rRNA". It matches the Rfam family "Bacterial small subunit ribosomal RNA", at positions 30 to 514 of the family's 1533-position model. The record is from RNAcentral.